RNAcentral lists this ribosomal RNA (431 nucleotides) under uncultured bacterium. Its description in RNAcentral is "partial 16S ribosomal RNA". It matches the Rfam family "Bacterial small subunit ribosomal RNA", at positions 29 to 507 of the family's 1533-position model. The record is from RNAcentral.
AACGAACGCUGGCGGCAGGCCUAACACAUGCAAGUCGAGCGCCCUUUCGGGGGAGCGGCGGCCGGGUGAGUAACGCGUGGGAACAUGCCCUUCUCUACGGAAUAGCCUCGGGAAACUGAGAGUAAUACCGUAUACGCCCUGUGGGGGAAAGAUUUAUCGGGGAAGGAUUAGCCCGCGUUGGAUUAGGUAGUUGGUGGGGUAAUGGCCUACCAAGCCGACGAUCCAUAGCUGGUUUGAGAGGAUGAUCAGCCACACUGGGACUGAGACACGGCCCAGACUCCUACGGGAGGCAGCAGUGGGGAAUCUUAGACAAUGGGGGCAACCCUGAUCUAGCCAUGCCGCGUGAGUGAUGAAGGCCUUAGGGUUGUAAAGCUCUUUCAGCUGGGAAGAUAAUGACGGUACCAGCAGAAGAAGCCCCGGCUAACUCCGUG